RNAcentral lists this ribosomal RNA (2204 nucleotides) under metagenome. Its description in RNAcentral is "bacterial LSU rRNA". It matches the Rfam family "Bacterial large subunit ribosomal RNA", at positions 14 to 2261 of the family's 2925-position model. The record is from RNAcentral.
AGAGCGUAGGGUGAAUGCCUAGGCACCAAGAGCCGAUGAAGGACGUGAUAAGCUGCGAAAAGCUAUGGGGAGGAGCAAAUAUCCAUCGAACCAUAGAUAUCCGAAUGAGGAAACUCAAUUAGCAAAAAUAAGCUAAUUAUCCAUACAUGAGUAAAGUAGUGUAUGCGAAGGGAACGUGGGGAACUGAAACAUCUAAGUACCCACAGGAAAAGAAAGAAAACUCGAUUCCUAGAGUAGUGGCGAGCGAAAUAGGAGGAGCCUAAACUGAGAGUAGUAAUACUUUCAGGGUUUGGACUACAUAAUCGAUCUAAUAAGUCUAAUAGAAAUGUUUUGGAAAAGCAUACCAUAGAAGGUGAAAGUCCGGUAUAUGAAAGAUGAGUUAGCGAGGUAGUAUCCAGAGUAGCACGAGGCACGUGAAAUCUCGUGUGAAUAAGCGGGGACCAUCCCGUAAGGCUAAAUACUACUUGGUGACCGAUAGUGAAAUAGUACCGUGAGGGAAAGGUGAAAAGGACCCCGGGAGGGGAGUGAAAUAGAACCUGAAACCCUAUGUUUACAAGCAGAUAGAGCACGUUAAAGUGCAAUAUCGUACUUUUUGUAGAACGGUCCAGCGAGUUAUUGUAUAUGGCAAGAUUAAGUACUAUGUAAGGUAUGGAGUCGAAGCGAAAGCGAGUCUGAAUAGGGCGAUUAAGUCAUAUAUAAUAGACCCGAAACCGGGUGACCUAUCCAUGGUCAGGAUGAAGCUAGAGUAAAAUCUAGUGGAGGUCCGAACUGAUUGUCGUUAAAAAGGCACCGGAUGAACUGUGGAUAGCGGAGAAAUUCCAAUCGAACUCGGAGAUAGCUGGUUCUCCUCGAAAUAGCUUUAGGGCUAGCCUUGAGGUUAAGAUAUAUGGGGGUAGAGCACUGAAUGAGCUAGGGGCCUAACCAGGUUACUGAACUCUAUCAAACUACGAAUACCAUAUAUUAUACUCAGGAGUCAGACUGCGGGAGCUAAGUUCCGUGGUCAAAAGGGAAAGAGCCCAGAUCGUCAAUUAAGGUCCCAAAGAUAUAGCUAAGUGGAAAACGAUGUGAUUUUGCGUAAACAACCAGGAUGUUGGCUCAGAAGCAGCCAUACAUUUAAAGAGUGCGUAACAGCUCACUGGUCGAGUGAAGUUGCGCGGAAAAUUACCGGGGCUAAGCUAUACACCGAAAUUGCGGAUUUACAUUUGAAAUAAAAUGUAAGUGGUAGAGGAGCAUUCUGUUGUAGGACGAAGCAUGAUCGAGAGGACAUGUGGACGAAGCAGAAGAGAGAAUGCUGGAAUAAGUAGCGAGAGCAAGGUGAGAAUCCUUGCCGUCGAAAAUCUAAGGUUUCCUGGGGAAGGUUCGUCCGCCCAGGGUAAGUCGGGACCUAAGGAGAGGCCGAAAGGCGUAUCCGAUGGACAGCAGGUUGAGAUUCCUGCACUACAGAUAUACUUAAAAGAUGCAAGGGACACAGGAGUGGAAGAUAAGCGAGGAAGAGGAAAAACUCGUAUCGCAAGAUAUAGUGAAAAUUAUAAGUAACGAAUUAUCAAGAAGCACACUGACGAGAAAAGCUUGUAGAUAUUGUAUAAAAGUACCCGUACCGCAAACCGACACAGGUAGAUGAGGAGAGGAUCCUAAGACGAACGGGAGAAGCAUUGUUAAGGAACUCGGCAAAUUGACCCCGUAACUUCGGAAUAAGGGGUGCCUAUGUAAAAGUAGGCCGCAGAGAAUAGGCCCAAGCAACUGUUUAACAAAAACACAGGUUUCUGCUAAAUCGAAAGAUGAAGUAUAGGAGCUGACGCCUGCCCAGUGCUGGAAGGUCAAGGGGAAGAGUUAGGGUUAAACCGAAGCUUAGAACCAAAGCCCCAGUGAACGGCGGCCGUAACUAUAACGGUCCUAAGGUAGCGAAAUUCCUUGUCAGGUAAGUUCUGACCCGCACGAAAGGCGUAAUGAUUUGGGCACUGUCUCGACAAUGUACCCGGCGAAAUUGUAGUACUAGUGAAGAUGCUAGUUACCUGCGACAAGACAGAAAGACCCCAUGGAGCUUUACUGCAGCUUGAUACUGGGUUUUGAUAAUUUAUGUACAGGAUAGGUGGGAGACUGAGAAAGCAGAGCGUCAGCUUUGCUGGAGUCACUGUUGGGAUACCACCCUUAAGUUACUGAAAUUCUAACCAUGAAUCGUAAACCGGUUCGGGGACAAUGUCAGG